This 415-nucleotide ribosomal RNA is filed under the name uncultured prokaryote. Its description in RNAcentral is "bacterial SSU rRNA". It matches the Rfam family "Bacterial small subunit ribosomal RNA", at positions 505 to 918 of the family's 1533-position model. The record is from RNAcentral.
GUGUCAGCAGCCGCGGUAAUACGUAGGGAGCGAGCGUUACUCGGAAUCACUGGGCAUAAAGGGCGUGUAGGUGGGUGCGUAAGUCCGGCGUGAAAUCCCCCAGCUCAAAUGGGGAACGGCGCCGGAUACUGCGUGUCUCGAGUGCGGGAGGGGAGAGUGGAACUCUUGGUGGAGCGGUGAAAUGCGUAGAUAUCAGGAGGAACGCCGGUGGCGAAAGCGGCUCUCUGGCCCGUAACUGACACUGAGGCGCGAAAGCUAGGGGAGCAAACGGGAUUAGAUACCCCGGUAGUCCUAGCCCUAAACGAUGGGCACUAGGUAGGGGCGGCUCCGAUGUCGUCUCUGCCGAAGCAAAUGUGCUAAGUGCCCCGCCUGGGGAGUACGGUCGCAAGGCUGAAACUCAAAUGAAUUGACGGGG